UUUUAUGAUGUUAUAAUUUGCGAUUGAACUUGGCUCGUGGAGCUCUUGCCGGAGAUUCUAUACGUUGCUAAGGAGAUGAUAAACAUUCUUACAUAUGCUGAAA
RNAcentral lists this small nucleolar RNA (103 nucleotides) under Endocarpon pusillum Z07020. RNAcentral's name for it is "A. fumigatus snoRNA Afu_514". It matches the Rfam family "A. fumigatus snoRNA Afu_514". Lineage: Eukaryota; Fungi; Ascomycota; Eurotiomycetes; Verrucariales; Verrucariaceae. The record is from Rfam by way of RNAcentral.